CAGGGAUUAGAGAAUCCUCCUUGUAUUUGUUAACAGUGCACUGAUUGUUCUAAUGGUGGUUGUAGUUUAUAAAGCAUAAAGCUGUUAUCAAAUACAAGGAGGAUUCUCUAAUCCCUGUGCAAAUCAAAGGAAUAAAACCGAUAUUUUCGAUAUGUCAAUGAGAAAUCGAGAAGAUAAAAUUGAAGGAAAACACCAACCUGGAAAUGAAACUUUCCAAGAGACAACAGCUAGGUCUUGUAUAAAUGAUGCCAUUUCUUCAUCAUUUGGCG
Molecule: unclassified non-coding RNA, 269 nt
Filed under: Hevea brasiliensis (rubber tree)
Lineage: Eukaryota; Viridiplantae; Streptophyta; Magnoliopsida; Malpighiales; Euphorbiaceae
Source: RNAcentral